This 137-nucleotide ribosomal RNA is filed under the name uncultured bacterium. RNAcentral's name for it is "partial 16S ribosomal RNA". It matches the Rfam family "Bacterial small subunit ribosomal RNA", at positions 355 to 509 of the family's 1533-position model. The record is from RNAcentral.
UGGGGAAUAUUGCACAAUGGGGGAAACCCUGAUGCAGCGACGCCGCGUGAAGGAAGAAGUAUCUCGGUAUGUAAACUUCUAUCAGCAGGGAAGAUAAUGACGGUACCUGACUAAGAAGCCCCGGCUAACUACGUGCC